This 235-nucleotide ribosomal RNA is filed under the name uncultured bacterium. RNAcentral's name for it is "partial 16S ribosomal RNA". It matches the Rfam family "Bacterial small subunit ribosomal RNA", at positions 15 to 244 of the family's 1533-position model. The record is from RNAcentral.
GAUCCUGGGCUCAGAUUGAACGCUGGCGGCAGGCCUAACACAUGCAAGUCGAACGGUAACAGGAAGCAGCUUGCUGCUUUGCUGACGAGUGGCGGACGGGUGAGUAAUGUCUGGGAAACUGCCUGAUGGAGGGGGAUAACUACUGGAAACGGUAGCUAAUACCGCAUAACGUCGCAAGACCAAAGAGGGGGGACCUUCGGGCCUCUUGCCAUCGGAUGUGCCCAGAUGGGAUUAG